RNAcentral lists this long non-coding RNA (209 nucleotides) under Carica papaya (papaya). RNAcentral's name for it is "long non-coding RNA (CPAP_LNC002293)". Lineage: Eukaryota; Viridiplantae; Streptophyta; Magnoliopsida; Brassicales; Caricaceae. The record is from RNAcentral.
UCCGAUCUCGUUCAGGAAAGGAACACAUCCAGACCAUUCGUGUGUGCGGGAACAGAUCUUAGCUGUGCGAUCGCGAGCACGCGGAUCACCCGCAUGGCCUCCCGCGUGGCACCACGUCAGCAUCUGCUGCCACGCAGCACGUUCUAGUUCGCCGGGGCAGCUGAUCGGGCAUCCUACCUGGUAAAACUUCUCUAAAUUGUAUUUUGACC